Molecule: non-coding RNA, 90 nt
Organism: Pluteus cervinus
Lineage: Eukaryota; Fungi; Basidiomycota; Agaricomycetes; Agaricales; Pluteaceae
Source: the annotation of a GenBank genome assembly
UCUCUGAUCGUAUAACGGUUAGUACACACGCCUGUCACUGGCGUUCGCUGGAGAUCGCGUGAGACCGGGGUUCGACUCCCCGUCAGAGAG